RNAcentral lists this small RNA (26 nucleotides) under Arabidopsis thaliana (thale cress). RNAcentral describes it as "ATSL219710". The record is from RNAcentral. Lineage: Eukaryota; Viridiplantae; Streptophyta; Magnoliopsida; Brassicales; Brassicaceae.
GACAAGGCGAUGAAGAAGGAGAGUGU